RNAcentral lists this ribosomal RNA (367 nucleotides) under Escherichia coli. Its description in RNAcentral is "partial 23S ribosomal RNA". It matches the Rfam family "Bacterial large subunit ribosomal RNA", at positions 1551 to 1898 of the family's 2925-position model. Lineage: Bacteria; Pseudomonadati; Pseudomonadota; Gammaproteobacteria; Enterobacterales; Enterobacteriaceae. The record is from RNAcentral.
CAAGGCUGAGGCGUGAUGACGAGGCACUACGGUGCUGAAGCAACAAAUGCCCUGCUUCCAGGAAAAGCCUCUAAGCAUCAGGUAACAUCAAAUCGUACCCCAAACCGACACAGGUGGUCAGGUAGAGAAUACCAAGGCGCUUGAGAGAACUCGGGUGAAGGAACUAGGCAAAAUGGUGCCGUAACUUCGGGAGAAGGCACGCUGAUAUGUAGGUGAAGUCCCUCGCGGAUGGAGCUGAAAUCAGUCGAAGAUACCAGCUGGCUGCAACUGUUUAUUAAAAACACAGCACUGUGCAAACACGAAAGUGGACGUAUACGGUGUGACGCCUGCCCGGUGCCGGAAGGUUAAUUGAUGGGGUUAGCCGCAA